UACGUAGGUGGCGAGCGUUGUCCGGAAUUACUGGGCGUAAAGGGCGUGUAGGCGGCUUUUUAAGUCAGACGUGAAAUCCCUGGGCUUAACCCAGGACCUGCGUUUGAAACUGGAAGGCUUGAGGACCGGAGAGGGUAGUGGAAUUCCCAGUGUAGCGGUGAAAUGCGUAGAUAUUGGGAGGAACACCAGUGGCGAAGGCGACUGCCUGGACGGCACCUGACGCUGAGGCGCGAAAGCCAGGGGAGCAAACGGGAUUAGAUACCCCGGUAGUCCUGGCUGUAAACGAUGGGUACUAGGUGUGGGAGGUAUCGACCCCUUCCGUGCCGCAGUUAACACAAUAAGUACCCCGCCUGGGGAGUACGGCCGCAAGGUUGAA
This 376-nucleotide ribosomal RNA is filed under the name uncultured bacterium. RNAcentral's name for it is "bacterial SSU rRNA". It matches the Rfam family "Bacterial small subunit ribosomal RNA", at positions 524 to 898 of the family's 1533-position model. The record is from RNAcentral.